Molecule: long non-coding RNA, 613 nt
Organism: Cyprinus carpio carpio
Lineage: Eukaryota; Metazoa; Chordata; Actinopteri; Cypriniformes; Cyprinidae
Source: Ensembl
CGACAGUGUGAGCCGCUUGACGGUAAACAUAACUUCAUCGCUGCUGUAACUGAAGAGCGCGCAGCAGCGCCUCACGCGCCAGGAGCGAGUAUUUGGCCACAAACAAAUAAACAUAGCUCCCAAAAACAGGUAAAGUCAGACGGGGUUUGUGCAGAAUGACUGAACUCGCGGCCUGAUGUGUGUCUGAAGCCAGCUGAGCUCGACAGCUGCACACAGCUGCUUAAAGGCUGCAGGCUGUCAGAAGACAUCCUCGCGCUCAGACACGUGGCGACGACUUUUAAUUGUUCACUGUCUCGCAGGAGUUUGACUGCAGUUACAUCAGAUGAACACACGGCGGCGGCCGAGUUCCAUCAUUCACCAGAACGAGAGGCAACCUAUGGACAGUCAGACAGUCACCUUCAAGUCUCUCCUUCCUGGACAGAGUGUCACUCUAAACCAAAGCAGAAUGGGACACUGAUGGACUGUGUGUUGUCAUGUAUCAUUUUGAUUGCAGUGUUCUGUCAGUGUUGGUGUGUUUGUGUACAGUAUGUGUGUGACUAGCCAUUGAUAAUACUAGGGCACUUGUCAAUAUACUGUAUGUCUCUUUUCCAUACAAUAAAAUAAAAUGGUCACC